Molecule: ribosomal RNA, 417 nt
Filed under: Blastocystis sp.
Lineage: Eukaryota; Bigyra; Opalinata; Blastocystidae
Description: SSU rRNA
Rfam family: Eukaryotic small subunit ribosomal RNA
Source: RNAcentral
ACAAUGCGGGACUAUUCGUCUUGCAAUUGGAUUGAGAACAAUGUACAACUCUUAUCGAUAAGCCAUUGGAGGGCAAGUCUGGUGCCAGCAGCCGCGGUAAUUCCAGCUCCAAUAGCGUAUAUUAACGUUGUUGCAGUUAAAAAGCUCGUAGUUGAAGUGUGGGUGAUCGCUGUUGUGAGACUUCGGUCUCUCGACAGUAAGUCACCCCCUUCCAGUAUCCAGUAGUGGGUAUUCACUUACUUACUACUGUGUGUUGGUCCUUUACUGUGAGAAAAUUAGAGUGUUCAAAGCAGGCGUUUGCUUGAAUAGAUUAGCAUGGAAUAAUAAUUGAAGGCUUUCGUGUUCGAUUUGAUUGGUUUGUUCAUGGAAGCAAGGUUAAAAGGAACAGUUGGGGGUAUUCAUAUUCACUAGUUAGAG